GGAGGGUAUGCGAAUGGCUAGCGGCCUGUUUGGAGUACAGGUGCCCCGCAAGGGGUUGAGGGUUCGAAUCCCUUGCCCUCCG
This 82-nucleotide transfer RNA is filed under the name Planctomycetaceae bacterium. RNAcentral's name for it is "tRNA-Ser". It matches the Rfam family "tRNA". From Rfam's summary of the family: Transfer RNA (tRNA) molecules are approximately 80 nucleotides in length. Their secondary structure includes four short double-helical elements and three loops (D, anti-codon, and T loops). Further hydrogen bonds mediate the characteristic L-shaped molecular structure. tRNAs have two regions of fundamental functional importance: the anti-codon, which is responsible for specific mRNA codon recognition, and the 3' end, to which the tRNAs corresponding amino acid is attached (by aminoacyl-tRNA synthetases). tRNAs cope with the degeneracy of the genetic code in two manners: having more than one tRNA (with a specific anti-codon) for a particular amino acid; and 'wobble' base-pairing, i.e. permitting non-standard base-pairing at the 3rd anti-codon position. RNAcentral also lists the same sequence under 4 other names. Lineage: Bacteria; Pseudomonadati; Planctomycetota; Planctomycetia; Planctomycetales; Planctomycetaceae. The record is from RNAcentral.